UACGGGGGGAGCAAGCGUUGUUCGGAUUUACUGGGCGUAAAGGGCGCGUAGGCGGCCACCGCAAGUCGACUGUGAAAUCUCCGGGCUUAACCCGGAAAGGUCAGCCGAUACUGCGGGGCUAGAGUGCAGAAGGGGCAAGUGGAAUUCUCGGUGUAGCGGUGAAAUGCGUAGAUAUCGAGAGGAACACCUGCGGCGAAGGCGGGUUGCUGGGCUGACACUGACGCUGAGGCGCGAAAGCUAGGGGAGCGAACGGG
This 254-nucleotide ribosomal RNA is filed under the name uncultured bacterium. RNAcentral's name for it is "partial 16S ribosomal RNA". It matches the Rfam family "Bacterial small subunit ribosomal RNA", at positions 524 to 776 of the family's 1533-position model. The record is from RNAcentral.